CACGGGGAAAAAAAAAAAAAACGCGUAUUAAGAACCGAACACGCCAUUCUCACACCCCCCCUCCUCUUCUUCUCCUUUCAUCUUCACCUCCAUCGACGAUUCUCUCUCUCUCUCUUGCGGGCCUUCCACGGCCACCACCAGAGGACGCCGAUCGGAGCUCCGGCGAUCCAUGCGCCGGCGACGGCGCCGCCACGGCUGAUUCGGCGGGGAUCUCGGCGAAGAGUCGCUGCGUCGGUAGGGUUUUUAUGCGUAGAGAUGGCGCCGGGGGCGGCGGAGGGCUCCGGCGGCGGGGGAGGCGGAGGAGGGGGAGGCGGCGGCGGGGGAGGGGGAUGGGUGGAGUCGUACACGGGCAUGUCCUCCGAUAACAUAAAGGGCUUGGUGCUCGCGCUCUCGUCGAGCUUCUUCAUCGGCGCCAGCUUCAUCGUCAAGAAGAAGGGCUUGAAGAAGGCCGGGGCGUCCGGGGUUAGGGCAGGAGUUGGAGGCUAUUCAUACUUGUACGAGCCACUUUGGUGGGCAGGCAUGAUAACAAUGAUUGUUGGGGAAGUGGCUAACUUUGCAGCUUAUGCAUUUGCUCCUGCUAUUCUGGUUACUCCUCUUGGCGCUCUUAGCAUUAUAAUCAGUGCUGCUCUUGCACAUAUCAUAUUACGGGAGAGACUACAUAUAUUUGGCAUUCUUGGAUGUGUUCUCUGUGUUGUGGGAUCAACUACCAUUGUCCUCCAUGCCCCUCAAGAACGUGAGAUUGAGUCUGUGGCAGAAGUAUGGGAUCUAGCUACAGAACCAGCUUUCCUUCUGUAUGCAGCAAUGGUACUUGCAGCAAUUUUCAUACUCAUUUUCCAUUUUAUACCACAAUAUGGACAGACGCAUAUUAUGGUGUACGUUGGUGUUUGUUCUCUUGUAGGCUCUCUAUCGGUCAUGAGUGUGAAAGCUCUUGGAAUAGCUUUGAAGUUGACAUUUUCAGGGAUGAAUCAGCUAAUAUAUCCACAAACAUGGGCUUUCACUAUAGUCGUUUUUGCUUGUGUGAUUACCCAAAUGAAUUAUUUGAACAAGGUGACAGCGAUGCAACAAAUUAGAGACGAACAAUGUUCUAAUUCUACACACAAUGUUGCUCUUGACACAUUCAACACAGCAGUUGUCUCACCCAUAUAUUACACAAUGUUUACAUCGCUAACCAUUUUGGCUAGUGUUAUCAUGUUCAAGGACUGGGAUCGGCAAAAUCCAACGCAAAUAGUAACUGAGAUGUGUGGUUUUGUUACGAUUCUCUCCGGAACUUUUCUUCUUCACAAGACGAAGGACAUGGCUGAUGGGCUUCCACAAUCUCUAUCAAUGCGGCUUCCAAAACACGCAGAUGAGGAUGGCUAUCCGGCCGAAGGCAUUCCUCUGAGGUCUCAGGAAUCAUUUCGGUCGCCAUAACCCGUACAUCAUAUUCCAUCUGCUUUUUGCGCAUUAGGGUUCCCUCCACCAUCCACUCUUGAUGUAACUAAGCAAAGUAGUUUGUAACUUUUCCGAGGAAUACAAAAUUGUAGAUCCUUUCAUUUUUCCUUUUCCUUUUUUUUUUUUUUUACAUCUAGGCUUUGCAAACCCCCCCUUGUAUGCGUCACAUUGUUAAAAGAGUCAUGGGGAUCACACUACUUAUACGGUCCACUGUAAUUUAGCCUCAAUUGCCGCGAAACUCGCUGUUCGCUUCAUAAUUUCCUUUGAAGUGCUUUAGAGCUGAAGGUGCUAUUCCUGUAGAGCUAUUUUGCUUCUUCUUACAUAAAACAAUGUGGACAUCGGAGAAUGCCGAAGAAGAGCCACCAUAGUAGAGACAACGGAGCAUGCAUUGAGUCGCCUUUCGGAAUGGCAAAUGUUUGUGGGAAAGCAUUGUAACAACCCCGAAGAAUAAAUGGUGAGCUCGGCGGAGCGAUCCGGCGAGAAGGCGCUUGGGCGGAACUCCAGCGGCAAGGCGCCUUCGAAGGGGCUCAGGCGAGCUCGACGGAAUCCAUGUCGUUGGGGCGAAGGAGAGAGAGCUAGCGGAUUGGGCGGUCGGAUUACCGGAUCGGGCAUAAAACGCGAACCCAAGCCCCGCCGGGUCGCGGAUGAUGCGAAGAAGGAGGAGUCCGGCACCCGCCUACCCACUUACCAGCACUACCGGGCAGGGAGGCCCAGAGAGGUGGCCCAACAACCCGAAUGGCAGCCCAGCCCAUCAGCAUCUCAUUUUGUCACUUUGCUACUUAGCCCUCAAAGAUUAUGUAAUUUCCAUUUCAGUUUAAGUCCUAAGAAGUAUAAGUACGAGAAUGUAUGGCAAACAGAGGCAUCGAUGAAAUGAAAUAUUGCUUAUCUUCUUCCCC
Molecule: RNA transcript, 2327 nt
Organism: Ananas comosus (pineapple)
Lineage: Eukaryota; Viridiplantae; Streptophyta; Magnoliopsida; Poales; Bromeliaceae
Gene name: probable magnesium transporter NIPA4
Exons: 11
Source: RefSeq, a predicted model, not a curated record